Molecule: long non-coding RNA, 3047 nt
Organism: Anas platyrhynchos (mallard)
Lineage: Eukaryota; Metazoa; Chordata; Aves; Anseriformes; Anatidae
Source: RefSeq, a predicted model, not a curated record
GCGGUAAUCAGCAGAAAAUAAGGAUCGGGGGAGCCCAGACUGAGUUUUAAAUUAGUUUUAAAUUAGUGGAACUCCAUUGGCUUGCCCAGAGUUAUUUCUGAUUUGCACAGAGAUAACCAAUAUCAGAAUCAGAUGCCAGAUGUAUGAAAACCCGUUGUGUUUACAGCCAUGUGGCAGUCCUGCAGAAAUGGGCCUGGUGGCAUUUCAGGGUGCUGGGCCGUACAGGCCAUGGCAUCCCACAUGCCCUGCUGGCAUCUUGGGUAUCGCCCUGAGGCUCGCCAUGCCUUCUUUGCAGAGGAACAUACUGAGCACCUAAAGGAAGAGUCCAAGGCUACUUUGUAUAGACUAAACAACAAACAAAUGGGAGCUGGAGUCUCCUCCUGGAGGAAUCAUGACUGUUGGAACUUUUCAUCUUUCUGAAGCCUUUGAUAGACUUUAGAGAGAAUGCAGGCAAAGAAAGACCUGAGGAUGAAGCAAAGAUCAUUAUGUGAAUGAAGAAACGGUAGUCUCUUCUAAACCAGAGAGUGCACUCCAAAUUCAAUACCAUUUUUUCUGAAUUAUAUCUGGUAUUUUACUAAGGAUAUUUACAUGCUCUGUGUUCCUACUCAAACACUAUUGCAGGUACUUAAGAUGUUCUUGCAACAAACGUACAACAAAAUCAUAAUUAAUUUGAAGGAAAUAUGCUUGACUGACUCAAAGUGCAAAAACAUCUUUUACUGGUUCCCAUGCAAGCAAGAAUGUCAUGGUUUUGACUCUGAAUCUGCAUGUGUUUUUGUAUUUGUUUGCUUAUUUGGGUCAAAUGCUCCUAUACAUCAACGUGAUGGCUCAGGAUCAACAGGAUGACACAUCACUAAGGGCUCAGAAUCAGCUGUAUACAGGGAAAAUACCCUGGAUUUGGGCCUCGCCAGAAUUCAUUGGCACGUUAGGUGAGCUUAGGCAAUUCCACUUAUCUCAUCCAGCUGCCUUCAAUACUGCCUGCUUUUUCUCUCUCUGAUAGCAUUUCUUCAGGCCAAUGAUAUUCUUGCUGUCAAUACAAGGUGGUUAGCAUCGCUAAAGACUCUGAAAUAUAAAUAACAUUCAUGUCUGUGCUGAAGUCAUGUAGACUUCACUGGAUAGCUGUAAAAUUGCAAUGUUUAUCUGCAUUGCUCUAAUAACAAUAAUAACUAGUGGCUCCUUACGUCAUGAAAGAAUGUAUUCACUAUGGUUUUUAAAUUUAAAAUAUUUUAUGAGACAAGUCUUUCAAGACUGAUUUUCUUUUUUCUUAAAUAGUGUAUUGGGAAAACAAUGUUUUAUAACCUUGGUGCAUAAUUUCCUAAACAGUAUAUUCAUAGGACAAAUGCCAAUAAGCCAGAAUGUUACAUAAACAAGAAUGCUAUAAAUUGUGUGGACUAUUUACAUAAAAAAACUUCAGUUUGAGAAUGCAUACAAUAACUCAUUUUUAAGUAUUUUGCAGCAUAUUCAGUAGGAAAGAGAAAGGUUACAAAGAGAAACUCCUUCUUUUAUAGCUCAAAAGUUUAGAAAGCAAGGUUUAUUGUAUGGUCAGUCAAAUUCUGUGUAGUCUUGAACCCAAAAGUUACUACAGCUGUAGUGAUUUGAUAGAGAGACUGUUCAUGUAUCAUAAUCUAGUAACACUAAUUGACGAGUUGUUCUUGUCACUGUAAACAGAUGUUUAUGGGUUAAACUCCAGUGACUAGAGGAAGUAAUUUUUGUAGGGUGUCAGGUAUUUCUUAAUUAAUAUUAGUGGAGCUAUAUACAUACAUUAGAAGGGAAUAUUUUUUUUUUUUUGACUAAGCUCAGCUCUCUGCUACUGAUGUUUCUGAAGUUUGACAGAGUUGGACAGCAAUGAACUCAGAUCUGAAGACCAUCUCCCUUGCUCUCAUGCGUGAUGCAGCUAGAUAGAAAUGUUUUAUGAACCUUUUUAUCUACAAAAAUGCUUCCCAUUUCUAGUUACCAAUGCCCUUAUUUCAGUUUGCAUAUUCCUGAGAAGUUAAUUAAAGAAGUCUGGUGUAAGGAUUUCAGCUGUGUGACUUAACACUGCUGCUCCUCAAAACUUCGGUGUAAAUCUGAAGAGCAAAGCUGCUUAUAGAACAAAUUAAUUAUGUACCUGCCUGCCCAUGUAACUAGAAAGUGUAAGUAACACAUACAGAAGCUGGCAGAACUCUGUAGCAUCUUAUUUUAUCUCUGUCUUGUUCUUUUCAGAGUCAGAGCUCCAACAGUUUAUCAUCUGUUUUCUUUCACCUGACAUAACAGGUUUAAGCCCAUUACAAUAAAACAAGUACAGCUGUGAUCUAGUCAAACCUACUAUGUUGGGAGGAGAGAGAAACGGUUUUUAUUACAGCACUUUCAUUUAUGAUGAAAUCUUCAAAACUUGUGAUAAUCUAAUGGGUUGUGAUAGUCACUUUUCUUCAGCAGUGUGGCCACAUCAACCCAAGAAAAUGAGAGUCUAAAUGAUACAGCUGGCCAUGGUGCUUGAAUGUUCUUGAAGAGAUGGAAAUGCCAUCUUAUUUCCCUGUUCUAUAUUGUAGUUUUUAUUCCCUCUAUCUUUGUUUAACCUGAAUAAACUUUAAAAACUUCAGAAGCAAUACUCUACUGUUUCUAAGCACUUCUAGUGUUAAUGAAGUGGUUUGAAGUUUGACUCCUUACAUCUUAAUACACAUGAAAAAUAUUGUUAGUAUGCCCACCCCCUCCCCAAGGAUUUGUUUGUUCCUUGACAAUGUUUCUAUUCAACAUUAUUUUCAAAGAUUUUUACAAGAAAUGUAGAAAUGCAUAUUUAAGAUAACACUUAAAAUCGAGGCUGAAUCUAGCCUAUAUUCUAACAAAGAUCUGGGAAUCUCUCUUAUAUGAAGAAGGGUGGUUAGUAGAUUUCCUGUUUUGUUUCUAGACUGAAUUUAGAUUUCCAAUGUCUUCAUUGUGACUAGAUGACACAUUCAAUUACAUUCAACAAUUUAUAGAUAUAUAACUUGUGAAGAAAAUAUGCUCCAGAGGGCAAAAUCGCAAUUCAUUUUUUUUCCCAUGUAAAUUAUGCUGUAAACCUUGUGAAUAGCACU